RNAcentral lists this ribosomal RNA (510 nucleotides) under uncultured bacterium. RNAcentral describes it as "partial 16S ribosomal RNA". It matches the Rfam family "Bacterial small subunit ribosomal RNA", at positions 28 to 507 of the family's 1533-position model. The record is from RNAcentral.
GACGAACGCUGGCGGCGUGCUUAACACAUGCAAGUCGAACGAAGAGCGAUGGAAGCUUGCUUCUAUCAAUCUUAGUGGCGAACGGGUGAGUAACGCGUAAUCAACCUGCCCUUCAGAGGGGGACAACAGUUGGAAACGACUGCUAAUACCGCAUACGAUCUAAUCUCGGCAUCGAGGAUAGAUGAAAGGUGGCCUCUACAUGUAAGCUAUCACUGAAGGAGGGGAUUGCGUCUGAUUAGCUAGUUGGAGGGGUAACGGCCCACCAAGGCGAUGAUCAGUAGCCGGUCUGAGAGGAUGAACGGCCACAUUGGGACUGAGACACGGCCCAGACUCCUACGGGAGGCAGCAGUGGGGAAUCUUCCGCAAUGGACGAAAGUCUGACGGAGCAACGCCGCGUGAGUGAUGACGGCCUUCGGGUCGUAAAGCUCUGUUAAUCGGGACGAAAGGCCUUCUUGCGAAUAGUGAGAAGGAUUGACGGUACCGGAAUAGAAAGCCACGGCUAACUACGUG